CCGAAUGGGGAAACCCAGUGUGAUUCGUCACACUAUCAUUAACUGAAUCCAUAGGUUAAUGAGGCGAACCGGGGGAACUGAAACAUCUAAGUACCCCGAGGAAAAGAAAUCAACCGAGAUUCCCCCAGUAGCGGCGAGCGAACGGGGAGGAGCCCAGAGCCUGAAUCAGCAUGUGUGUUAGUGGAAGCGUCUGGAAAGGCGCGCGAUACAGGGUGACAGCCCCGUACACAAAAGCGCAUGUGCUGUGAGCUCGAUGAGUAGGGCGGGACACGUGGUAUCCUGUCUGAAUAUGGGGGGACCAUCCUCCAAGGCUAAAUACUCCUGACUGACCGAUAGUGAACCAGUACCGUGAGGGAAAGGCGAAAAGAACCCCGGCGAGGGGAGUGAAAAAGAACCUGAAACCGUGUACGUACAAGCAGUGGGAGCCCCACCACUAAGCCAGUGGUGAACUCCACAUACGCAUCCUUUGCUGAGGAUACGGUUAACGGAGCGAAAGCGACGUUCAACCUCAAAAGAAGCAGAGGGGGCUUAGUGGUGGGGUGACUGCGUACCUUUUGUAUAAUGGGUCAGCGACUUAUAUUCUGUAGCAAGGUUAACCGUAUAGGGGAGCCGUAGGGAAACCGAGUCUUAACCGGGCGUUAAGUUGCAGGGUAUAGACCCGAAACCCGGUGAUCUAGCCAUGGGCAGGUUGAAGGUUGGGUAACACUAACUGGAGGACCGAACCGACUAAUGUUGAAAAAUUAGCGGAUGACCUGUGGCUGGGGGUGAAAGGCCAAUCAAACCGGGAGAUAGCUGGUUCUCCCCGAAAGCUAUUUAGGUAGCGCCUCGUGAAUUCAUCUCCGGGGGUAGAGCACUGUUUCGGCUAGGGGGCCAUCCCGGCUUACCAACCCGAUGCAAACUGCGAAUACCGGAGAAUGUUAUCACGGGAGACACACGGCGGGUGCUAACGUCCGUCGUGAAGAGGGAAACAACCCAGACCGCCAGCUAAGGUCCCAAAGUCAUGGUUAAGUGGGAAACGAUGUGGGAAGGCCCAGACAGCCAGGAUGUUGGCUUAGAAGCAGCCAUCAUUUAAAGAAAGCGUAAUAGCUCACUGGUCGAGUCGGCCUGCGCGGAAGAUGUAACGGGGCUAAACCAUGCACCGAAGCUGCGGCAGCGACGCUGAUGCGUUGUUGGGUAGGGGAGCGUUCUGUAAGCCUGCGAAGGUGGCCUGUGAGGGUUGCUGGAGGUAUCAGAAGUGCGAAUGCUGACAUAAGUAACGAUAAAGCGGGUGAAAAGCCCGCUCGCCGGAAGACCAA
This 1295-nucleotide ribosomal RNA is filed under the name Salmonella enterica. Its description in RNAcentral is "bacterial LSU rRNA". It matches the Rfam family "Bacterial large subunit ribosomal RNA", at positions 114 to 1348 of the family's 2925-position model. The record is from RNAcentral. Lineage: Bacteria; Pseudomonadati; Pseudomonadota; Gammaproteobacteria; Enterobacterales; Enterobacteriaceae.